RNAcentral lists this microRNA (21 nucleotides) under Gallus gallus (chicken). RNAcentral describes it as "gga-miR-757". Its record names the gene gga-miR-757. Lineage: Eukaryota; Metazoa; Chordata; Aves; Galliformes; Phasianidae. The record is from miRBase by way of RNAcentral.
GCAGAGCUGCAGAUGGGAUUC